UACGUAGGGUGCAAGCGUUAAUCGGAAUUACUGGGCGUAAAGCGUGCGCAGGCGGUUUUGUAAGACAGGCGUGAAAUCCCCGGGCUCAACCUGGGAAUUGCGCUUGUGACUGCAAAGCUGGAGUGCGGCAGAGGGGGAUGGAAUUCCGCGUGUAGCAGUGAAAUGCGUAGAUAUGCGGAGGAACACCGAUGGCGAAGGCAAUCCCCUGGGCCUGUACUGACGCUCAUGCACGAAAGCGUGGGGAGCAAACAGG
Molecule: ribosomal RNA, 253 nt
Filed under: uncultured bacterium
Lineage: Bacteria
Description: partial 16S ribosomal RNA
Rfam family: Bacterial small subunit ribosomal RNA
Source: RNAcentral